Molecule: ribosomal RNA, 481 nt
Filed under: uncultured bacterium
Lineage: Bacteria
Description: partial 16S ribosomal RNA
Rfam family: Bacterial small subunit ribosomal RNA
Source: RNAcentral
GAUGAACGCUGGCGGCGUGCCUAACACAUGCAAGUCGAACGGAGAUUACGGACGGAAGUUUUCGGAUGGAGGACUGUAAUUCUUAGUGGCGGACGGGUGAGUAACGCGUGGGCAACCUGCCCUAUACAGGGGGAUAGCAGCUGGAAACGGCUGGUAAGACCGCAUAAGUCGGUUAAAUCGCAUGAUUUGAUCGGGAAAUGAGCAAUCAGGUAUAGGAUGGGCCCGCGUCCGAUUAGCCAGUUGGCAGGGUAAAAGCCUACCAAAGCGACGAUCGGUAGCCGGACUGAGAGGUCGGACGGCCACAUUGGGACUGAGACACGGCCCAAACUCCUACGGGAGGCAGCAGUGGGGGAUAUUGCACAAUGGAGGAAACUCUGAUGCAGCGACGCCGCGUGAGUGAAGAAGUAUUUCGGUAUGUAAAGCUCUAUCAGCAGGGAAGAUGAUGACGGUACCUGACUAAGAAGCCCCGGCUAACUACGUG